AGUGAGUGGCGAACGGGUGAGUAACACGUGGGUAACCUGUCCAGAAGUAGGGGAUAACACCUGGAAACAGAUGCUAAUACCGUAUAACAGAGAAAACCGCAUGGUUUUCUUUUAAAAGAUGGCUCUGCUAUCACUUCUGGAUGGACCCGCGGCGUAUUAGCUAGUUGGUGAGGUAAAGGCUCACCAAGGCAGUGAUACGUAGCCGACCUGAGAGGGUAAUCGGCCACAUUGGGACUGAGACACGGCCCAGACUCCUACGGGAGGCAGCAGUAGGGAAUCUUCCACAAUGGACGCAAGUCUGAUGGAGCAACGCCGCGUGAGUGAAGAAGGGUUUCGGCUCGUAAAGCUCUGUUGUUAAAGAAGAACGUGGGUAAGAGUAACUGUUUACCCAGUGACGGUAUUUAACCAGAAAGCCACGGCUAACUACGUGCCAGCAGCCGCGGUAAUACGUAGGUGGCAAGCGUUAUCCGGAUUUAUUGGGCGUAAAGCGAGCGCAGGCGGUCUUUUAAGUCUAAUGUGAAAGCCUUCGGCUCAACCGAAGAAGUGCAUUGGAAACUGGGAGACUUGAGUGCAGAAGAGGACAGUGGAACUCCAUGUGUAGCGGUGAAAUGCGUAGAUAUAUGGAAGAACACCAGUGGCGAAGGCGGCUGUCUGGUCUGCAACUGACGCUGAGGCUCGAAAGCAUGGGUAGCGAACAGGAUUAGAUACCCUGGUAGUCCAUGCCGUAAACGAUGAUUACUAAGUGUUGGAGGGUUUCCGCCCUUCAGUGCUGCAGCUAACGCAUUAAGUAAUCCGCCUGGGGAGUACGACCGCAAGGUUGAAACUCAAAAGAAUUGACGGGGGCCCGCACAAGCGGUGGAGCAUGUGGUUUAAUUCGAAGCUACGCGAAGAACCUUACCAGGUCUUGACAUCUUCUGACAGUCUAAGAGAUUAGAGGUUCCCUUCGGGGACAGAAUGACAGGUGGUGCAUGGUUGUCGUCAGCUCGUGUCGUGAGAUGUUGGGUUAAGUCCCGCAACGAGCGCAACCCUUAUUACUAGUUGCCAGCAUUAAGUUGGGCACUCUAGUGAGACUGCCGGUGACAAACCGGAGGAAGGUGGGGACGACGUCAAAUCAUCAUGCCCCUUAUGACCUGGGCUACACACGUGCUACAAUGGAUGGUACAACGAGUCGCGAGACCGCGAGGUUAAGCUAAUCUCUUAAAACCAUUCUCAGUUCGGACUGUAGGCUGCAACUCGCCUACACGAAGUCGGAAUCGCUAGUAAUCGCGGAUCAGCAUGCCGCGGUGAAUACGUUCCCGGGCCUUGUACACACCGACCGGCACACCAUGAGAGUUUGUAACACCCAAAGCCGGUGGGGUAACCUUUUAGGAGCUA
This 1374-nucleotide ribosomal RNA is filed under the name Pediococcus pentosaceus. Its description in RNAcentral is "bacterial SSU rRNA". It matches the Rfam family "Bacterial small subunit ribosomal RNA", at positions 90 to 1451 of the family's 1533-position model. Lineage: Bacteria; Bacillati; Bacillota; Bacilli; Lactobacillales; Lactobacillaceae. The record is from RNAcentral.